Molecule: long non-coding RNA, 1459 nt
Organism: Choloepus didactylus (southern two-toed sloth)
Lineage: Eukaryota; Metazoa; Chordata; Mammalia; Pilosa; Megalonychidae
Exons: 4
Source: RefSeq, a predicted model, not a curated record
CGAUGUCUCCCCCAAACCGGCCUCACCCCGGCCCCGUGGUGGCAGCCCAGGCUCACCCUCCAGAAGCCCACGGGGUAAAUGAGCGUGCCCAGUGUGCUGUCGUCUGUCUGCAGGAUGCUGUCCACCGUCAGGCCCCGGGCCCGUAGCCGCUGCAUGGCGCCCGCGGUCACCUGGUCUUUGGUCUGGCUGGAGAGCAUCAGCGAGAGCAGCACCUGGAACCUCCGGACCUGCAGGCAGUGACAGGGGACGGGGGCGGGUAUGGGGGCCUCAGCAGAGCCCUGGGCCCACCUCUACCUGUUACCCCUGGAAAGGUGUGGGAUGCGCCCUCCAACCCGCCUGGGCCAACGAGACGUGGUGGGUCUGGCUCAGGCAUUUCGUCCUCUACAAUGUGGGGACAACCAGGGCAUGGUCAGCUCUUGUCGUGAACACUGAAUUAGCAAACUCGGAACCACCGCACCUCUGAGAGCCUGUGAGCCUCUGGAGGACAUGUAGCCUCUGGAGGACAUGUAGCCCUGCUUUAUGUGUGUCUGUGUUCACACUCCUCAUUUUACGUACGUUCUCGACUCAUCAGCACUGAACUACACGCGGCACUGCAACUCCUGCCUGAAGGAAGCUGGCCUAACACGCAUUUCCUCCACGGGGCUUCUCGGGCUUCGGAACACUAACUACAUGGUGCUCCGGCACCAUGCAGAGUCCCCAACGAAAAGCACAAGAGGGUGAGGGAUGCAGCACGAAAGGGACCGCAGAGCCGACGCCCGUUUACAGGAUGAGCUGAAACAAGGCGGCUGAGCGUCGUCCGGGGGACCUCGGCUGAGAAAGUGCAUGUUGGGCCACUGGCAUUUUCCUGUGCAUCUGUCCUCGAACGACCGCUGAAGGGCUGCAAUUAUCUAUUUGGGGGUUACAAGUAAAUUUUAGCACGUAGAUAAGCAAACGGGCUCGGGGAGCAGGGACCCAAGUCGCCCAGUUACACAGGAGCAGGGUCGGGACUGGAACUCGGGUUGGUCUAAGGACCUAGGAUCCUGACCAGGGUCUCCGUUUGCACUCGUGAUGAAGUCCAAAUGAUAUCCUGGCACCAAAGCUCCCGCCAACCUGGCUGGCACGCACCCCUAACAGGGAGAGAAGACUUCUGACUGGUGUCCCAGCACCUCGCUCCUCUGAGAGGAAGCAGCUAUAUGAGCUCAGGAGCAGCACCCAGGUCGGGCUGGUGGGACCGGGAGACCUUUCCCGCUCAGGACGGGGUGGGGGAGGUGGAGCGCCCGGACCCCAGCCCCUGCGGACCCCUUCCCCUGCGUCCAGGGACUAGAGCGCGGGGGUGGGCGACGGCCCGGGUCCGGUCUCCAGCGGGACCCUUCCCCCGCCUCUGCCCCCGCGCCCUGGCCCGGGCGCCGCGCUACCUGCAGCCGCCUGUCCCCUCCGGAGGGGCGCGGCCUCCUCCCCACACCCCCGCAGCUCGGCUCCC